GCUGGGGAUUUGUUGGGGUGUGGAGGCCCUGACACCGACAGGCCGGGAUGGCUGUGAGAAGGUUGGCCUGGGAGAAAGAGAGACAUCUUGUCCCAGGAGGCCCAGGGCAAACUCCCUCUCCACAGGCACAGGGACAAUGUUGCCAGGCAAGCUUAAACAGAAGAGACAGCAGAGCAAACACUCCAGC
Ficedula albicollis (Collared flycatcher) is the source of this 187-nucleotide long non-coding RNA. RefSeq lists it as uncharacterized. NCBI's taxonomy places the organism in Eukaryota, Metazoa, Chordata, Aves, Passeriformes, Muscicapidae. The transcript is spliced from 3 exons. The record is from RefSeq and is a predicted model, not a curated record.